GAAGUACUCCCUCCGUCAAACAAAAUAUGUUUCAACUUUUACUAAAUUAGAAUGCAUCUAUAUAUUAAGUCAUGUCUACAUACAUCUAAAUUUUGAUAAACUUGAGACAUCUUUUGUUGGACGGAGAGAAUACUAG
Brachypodium distachyon (stiff brome) is the source of this 136-nucleotide non-coding RNA. The record is from Rfam. Lineage: Eukaryota; Viridiplantae; Streptophyta; Magnoliopsida; Poales; Poaceae.